AAUCGAAGCAACGCGAAGAACCUUACCAGGUCUUGACAUCCCCUGACAACCCGAGAGAUCCGGGCGUUCCCCUUCGGGGGGACAGGGUGACAGGUGGUGCAUGGUUGUCGUCAGCUCGUGUCGUGAGAUGUUGGGUUAAGUCCCGCAACGAGCGCAACCCUCGACCUUAGUUGCCAGCAUUCAGUUGGGCACUCUAAGGUGACUGCCGGCUAAAAGUCGGAGGAAGGUGGGGAUGACGUCAAAUCAUCAUGCCCCUUAUGACCUGGGCUACACACGUGCUACAAUGGGCGGUACAAAGAGCAGCUAACUCGCGAGAGUAUGCAAAUCUCAAAAAGCCAUCCUCAGUUCGGAUUGGAGUCUGCAACUCGACUCCAUGAAGUUGGAAUCGCUAGUAAUCGCGGAUCAGCAUGCCGCGGUGAAUACGUUCCCGGGCCUU
Molecule: ribosomal RNA, 436 nt
Filed under: uncultured Anoxybacillus sp.
Lineage: Bacteria; Bacillati; Bacillota; Bacilli; Caryophanales; Anoxybacillaceae
Description: bacterial SSU rRNA
Rfam family: Bacterial small subunit ribosomal RNA
Source: RNAcentral